This 465-nucleotide long non-coding RNA is filed under the name Astyanax mexicanus (Mexican tetra). RNAcentral's name for it is "lncRNA (ENSAMXG00005010386.1)". Lineage: Eukaryota; Metazoa; Chordata; Actinopteri; Characiformes; Acestrorhamphidae. The record is from RNAcentral.
AGUCCACCAGAAUAAACUGCUCCUGCUCUAUUCCUAUGGCUGCAGGUCAGAUUCAGGCCAGUCUGCAGUCAGAAGGUUCACUGGGAAUAAUUGAAACUGUGGCCAACCUGCAAACAGUGAGAAUCAACUCCUCCAACCCAGCGGGAAACUGGACCCUCAACAUCGCCUCACUACUGUCCUGCACUAUCAAAGUCACCGGUAAAAGUCCAAUAAACUUCAAGUUUGAUUUGGUGGACAUCGCCAAUAUCCCCUUACCGAACUCUGGCUACUCCGUGUCUCAAACCAGACCUUCUACAGGUGAGUCAACUCCCACUAGCACACUAGUUUUCUUCCGCGCUGCACGAAAACAGUGAGCUGAUUGGCUGUUUCUCCUGAAAGGCGGGACUUUAUCCUUGAACCAGUACCAUGAUUGAUUGGCGUUAAGAGACUUUUCAUUAACACAGUGGUCAGUAGCCUGUCUCCUCA